UCUUAAAGAGCUCAGUUUUUUUCUAUUUCACCUCCACUCCUUGAUGGAAGUCCACUCGUUGUUGACUUUGUCAGUCCUACAGAAUUCCAAGUGAGGCCCUGAAAGUGUUAAUAGCGAUUUCUCCUGAGAAAAUCAACAGCUGCUGAGGUGAGCUGGGCAGCUGCUUAGAUGAGUUGGAUGUGAUCCUGUCCCGUUCCUUAAUGGCAGCUCACUUGUAUUCAUUGAGGGUUUCAUAGGUGAGUGCUCAUUCUCCAGAAU
Molecule: long non-coding RNA, 258 nt
Organism: Sinocyclocheilus grahami
Lineage: Eukaryota; Metazoa; Chordata; Actinopteri; Cypriniformes; Cyprinidae
Exons: 3
Source: RefSeq, a predicted model, not a curated record